ACUCCCAUGGCGUAGUGGUCACUGCGCUCGCCUUGCACGCGGGAGACCCGGGUUCGAUUCCCGGCGGGGUC
Molecule: transfer RNA, 71 nt
Filed under: Diaphorina citri (Asian citrus psyllid)
Lineage: Eukaryota; Metazoa; Arthropoda; Insecta; Hemiptera; Psyllidae
Rfam family: tRNA
About the family: Transfer RNA (tRNA) molecules are approximately 80 nucleotides in length. Their secondary structure includes four short double-helical elements and three loops (D, anti-codon, and T loops).
Source: Rfam by way of RNAcentral